This 493-nucleotide ribosomal RNA is filed under the name Ogataea pini. Its description in RNAcentral is "eukaryotic LSU rRNA". The stretch from base 281 to 493 matches the Rfam family "Eukaryotic large subunit ribosomal RNA", at positions 1 to 212 of the family's 3401-position model. The record is from RNAcentral. Lineage: Eukaryota; Fungi; Ascomycota; Pichiomycetes; Pichiales; Pichiaceae.
GUGAAUUGCAGAUUUUCGUGAUCAUUGAAUCUUUGAACGCACAUUGCGCCCUCUGGUAUUCCAGAGGGCAUGCCUGUUUGAGCGUCAUUUCCUUCUCAAACCCCAGGGUUUGGUGAUGGGCGAUACUCCGAUUUUGAGGAGUUCGCUUGAAAUGAAUCGGCAUGAGUUUUUGUUAUGAACGACAGUGUUUAUUCAAUGUAUUAGGUUUAGUCCAUCGUUGAUUGACAUUUGUUGAUUAUUUCAAAGUUUGGCUCUGCCUAACAAAUUUUAUCAUAAAGUUUGACCUCAAAUCAGGUAGGACUACCCGCUGAACUUAAGCAUAUCAAUAAGCGGAGGAAAAGAANCCAACAGGGAUUGCCUUAGUAGCGGCGAGUGAAGCGGCAAGAGCUCAAAUUUGAAAUCUGGUACCUUCGGUGCCCGAGUUGUAAUUUGAAGAAAGCUGUCUUGGAGUUGGCCUUUGUCUAUGUUCCUUGGAACAGGACGUCACAGAGGG